This 77-nucleotide transfer RNA is filed under the name Candidatus Ornithoclostridium faecavium. RNAcentral's name for it is "tRNA-Val". It matches the Rfam family "tRNA". From Rfam's summary of the family: Transfer RNA (tRNA) molecules are approximately 80 nucleotides in length. Their secondary structure includes four short double-helical elements and three loops (D, anti-codon, and T loops). Lineage: Bacteria; Bacillati; Bacillota; Clostridia; Christensenellales; Christensenellaceae. The record is from RNAcentral.
GGAGAUAUAGCUCAGUUGGUUAGAGCGCUGUGUUCACAUCGCAGAGGUCGCGGGUUCGAGCCCCUCUAUCUCCACCA